UGUGCGUUCGGGUGCGAGUGUCUGUGUGCCUGUGUGUCUGCGUGCAUGUGUGUGUCUGUUUGUAUGUCUUCGUGUGUUCACCUGUGUGUGCGUGUGCUAGCGCUGUAUGCUUGACCAGUGGUGUGGCCAGUGCACCCCAGCGCGGUUUCUCUGUAGUCAGUCUUGGUUCUGGUGCGCCUCUGACCUUGGCCCAGCUUAUGGGCAUUGGGGCCCCGUGUUCUUUAUGUUGCUCCUGGUUUCUAAAGCCUCAGUGUCGUUGGGGUCUGGCUCCCACCCGGGGGUCUCCUCAUCACCUGCCCAUCUCGACGGGUCAAUCCUCCAGAAAGAAGAUGAGCACAGCACACCCAAAACCCAACUAUUCCAAGGGCCCUUGGUCCUGCGGCACAUCUAGGGCUGGCCCCGUCCUCAGGACCCCUUGAGGGACUAGCUGCUGUCCCUCAACUGAUGUGCAUUGGACCUACUGAGGAUUCUUGUUAAAAGACAGAUUGUCAUCCUUGUGUUGGAGUGAGCCUGUGAUUCUGUGUUUCUGGUAGGCACUCACUCAGGGGAUGCCAGUUCUUAUGGGACAUGAUUGCUAUUUCCAGGAGCAAGUCUCAGUACUGUUCUUGAGAGUAAGAAUUGCAGAUGUAGAGUCUGCAUUUAAAGGCCUCUUUUCAAUAUAGUCUUUGUUUUUCUUCCUAUGUCCUUUCAUAAGAUAAUUAAAACACUCAAAGGCAGUAGAGAUGGAAACAGAGAGAUAGUUUCUAAAUUAAAUUUAUUUUGAAUGACUUAAUUAAUUGACUCUUGGUUAUUAGGGGUAGAUUAAAUUGUAUGCACUUAGCCAUGGGAUGAAAUCCCAGUGGGCUUGGUAUCAUGAAUAAUUGAAAUCGCGGUCAUGUAAGGAAACACUAAUAUAUUUAUCGUUCCAUGUCUUUCUGUCGAGAAUCCUUUGGUACCAAAUCUAGCGUGGGAAUGUUCCUUGAUCUCAGCUGUCUGUGUAAUUGUUGGGAGCAGCGCCUGCUUUCUCUUCCAGUCUCUGAGGAACAGUGGUCUGCCUAAGGGAGCUGCAACGUCUAUACAGAGGCUGUGCUGUGACUGCUGGAGAUUUCUAACACAUUGGCUGCCAACACUCAGCAAAGAAGUUCCUGGAGAGACAAGACAAAGACGGUCUGUGUUUCAAAAGAAGCCCUCAGCUGAAGAUGGAAGAACCGAAUGUGCCCCACGCAAGGGAACUGGAGAGGAUGAGAAAGCUUGACAAAAAAAACAAAAAACAAACAAACAAACAAACAAAAAAAAAGCUUGACAAGUACGUUGGUUGCUCAGACUUGGUCUUGACGGGAUGAAGGUUCCAUGCGGAUGAUUUCCUCAUCACAGAAAACAAGUGAAACCUAAUGGCAGUGUAGGGCCUUUAUCAAAGUAUGACUUAAUGGAAACACUGACUCAGAAAAAGGUUUCAGCCACUGAUUGACCUCCAACAGACGGUUACACUGUGGGUUGAAGUGUCAAUGAGAUUAACAAUCUGCACUUUUAACAGAAUGAAGGAUUGGUCCUCUGACAACGAAAGUUGACAAACUUCUCUGUAUACCGGCCAUGAACGUGAUUUGAUCGAAACACUUUGUACCAAGAAGACGAUGUUUUCUAUCCAAACAAUAAAGUGACUACGCUCUGUUAGCAUUUUGUGCUUGGGUUUCUUGGGGGUACUCAGCGGCAUGCCAGGACAUCCGGCUUGGGAUUGGAAUCGCCCCGAAAAGCUUCUGAGAUGCUCUCUCCACCUGAUCUGCCCCGGAGACCAUGGGAGGCCAGUUCCGGGUGUUACCAAGUUUGCCUCGCGCUGGAAUCGCUGCUCUUUCUUUCUGAACUCUCAGGAUCCGGCGAUGCCUGUGCCGGGCUCGUGUCACAGUGGCCGCCACCAUGGCUUGGGGCACCGUCUCAGCGGCUUUGCAGAGCCGGGGCUUUCUGCGGUAGUGCCUUCUCCAUCAGCAGUGCUGACUCCAAGCGGGGGGUCCGUUGACUUGGAGACCAAGGCAGGGCCCCUUGGUGUGUGGCCCAUAUCCAAGGGGGGGCAGUGAGCUCACGGAGCAGGAAAAUGUUCUGCUGACACCCUCUUGGAGGGUCUCAGACCCAUGUUCCUGGGGUCCACCGACCCCCGCCACACCUCAUCAGACUGAGUCUCCAGCCCGAUGGGACCCGACCUCCGCCCACGCCUUCCAAGCCGUCCGGGUUGCAAUGGUGAGGGCAGUCUCGAGUGCCCAGCUCACGAUCUGAAUCGCCCUCCUCCUCCGGCCGAUCAGAUCAGGAAAGCCGUGUCAAAGAGGUACGGAGGUCAGAACUGUCCGGCUCCUGCGCUGCUUGUGGCACGCAGCCUCCUUCCCUGGGACUGCCCCGGGCACCGCCUCCAGCAUUGUCCUGUGCGGCUGCCGCCGGGGAGCACGGACACUGCGGCCGGCCAUCCGGGAGCGCCACUGCGCGUGCGCAGGCGGGGCGUCACAAGCGCGAGCGCUGAGCCGGGCUCGCGUCACAGUGACGGUCACCGUGUCCUGGGGAACAGUCUGAGCAACUUGAGAAAGCAGGGGCCCACGGCGGGAGUGCCUCACCGUUGGGCGACGGCUCCCCCCUCACGGCGAUCGUCGCCACGGUCCCGUGAUUUCCGGAGUGCGGCUUGGCAGAACCAGGCGGAGAAAACGUCCAGCGGAGCUUCAGGGAUGCCCAGGGCGAUGGAUCCCCAAGAACCCCCUAGAUGCUUCAGGCUUCCCCAGGCACUGUUGGCGUGUGUCUUCUUGAAAGCUCUCCCUACCGGGAAUUGCAGACACAGCCCAUUGUUCAGGUUCUGAAUCUCACACUUGGAGGCAGCUAAAAGUUGGAAUUGUGAGUCUCAUUCAUGGAUCAGCUUCACAGAUGAGAUAAUGACUCUCGGACCAAGAUUCAUCACACCUCUGAGGCUGUGACUCUACUACUAGGACACAAUCUGAAGCUUGAAUUAAGGUCCCCAGGCACUAAUCUAAUCCAAUAUCUAGAUUCUGACUCACAUAAAUGAACUGAUCACACAGGAGGUGCUGACUGUCAUCCUUAGAGCCGGAUGUGUUUGGGAUUGUUUAUCUCAUCCGUGGACUUUUGUGGAAGUGUGAUUGUGACAUAUGCUGUUGCCCAUAUCCUGAGUGAUUUUUGUUUUCUGACUGGGCCCAGCCCACAGAUAAAAUUGUGACAUAUACCAAGGCCAAGCACCAAGGUAAUAUGACAGUCCUCAUCGGCCUGAACCUGUCACUUAGAAGUGAUUGUUACAUAUUUCUGAAUACAACACCUGGUGAUGUGACUCUCCUCUUGUGUCAAGGCUUUGAGCACAAAGAUUGUGACAUAUCGCUGGGCCCAGCACCUAGAUAAUGUGCUUGUUCUGCCUUAAUUCUCCCCACAGGGAACAUAAUGACAUAUUAUUUAGUCAAUCACCUGGGUGAAGUGAGUGUUCUUUUUGUCCUGGGCCUCGGCCUCAGAAGAACAUAUGACAUACUGCUGGUCCUAGGUGAUUUGGGUCUUCUCUGCUCCCUGAUCUUUGCCAGUAGUGGGGAUUGUGAACUACUGCUUAACCCAGCACCUAAUUUUUCUGACUUACUUCUUUCGCUAAAUCCCCAAAACAGUGGGAAUUGCAAUAUAUUGUGGGGAGCAGCAACUAGGUGAUGUGACUCUCCUCUGUUGCCUGGGCUCUGCCCACAUUGGGCAUUGUUACAUAGUGCUGAGUAUCACCUAAGUACAUAUUACAUUACCUAAGUAAUGUUAUGGUUCUCCUCUGCUUGGGACCUGUCGAUAUCAAGGAUCGUCGCAUGUCACCAGGACCAGAACCCAGGUAAUAUGCCUCUCUUUCCCUGAUCCUGCUUUCAGUGCGGAUUGACAUAUUGCUGUCCUAGCAUCCAGGUGAGGUGACUCUUCUGCCUGGUCUCUCCCUACACGUGGGAUUGUGACAUACACUUGGGCUCAGCUCACUGGUGUAAUGAUGACAAUUAUACCUUAAUCCAGCAAAUAGGAGAGAUACUGACUUUUUUUUAGGCUUAGGGCAAUCUGUGAGGUCUGGGUGUUUUUAGUACAAAGGUAAGAGAAAAUUACAUUACUCAUGCAUAUUUUAUAAGGCUUUCAGUUGGUUCAGAGAGUGUCAUAACAUGGCUCAGCACACACAUGAGACUGUGACUCUCAUAUGCACACCCAGCCAACAGUUAGGAGUUUAACUUACACACAUGUAAAGGUCCCAAAUCUCACCUGUAAAUGCAGUUUGCAGUUAGAAUUGUGACUUUUUUGGAUGCAGCCACAGGUAGGAUGGUGACUCACUUCUGAAUGCAACUGACAGGCACAGUGACAACUCUCAUUCCUGGAUGCAGCAAAGUAGACACAGGUUGGCUCUCAUACCUGGGCUUAGGGCAACAGGUAAAAUCAUGGGUCACACCAGCCCAAAAUUCUCAGAACAGACUGUGACUCUCACGCAUGUCAUAUAAAGCCUUUGGGUGAUACAGAAAAUGUCCUAACAGUGCCAAUUACACAGGUGAGAUUGUGAUCCUUAAAUGCACACCCACCCAAAAGUAGGAAAGUAAGAGUUGUGACUCUCCCACAUGGACACAGCUCACCUUUGAGGUUUGAAUCUGAUACCCAGAGGCAGUUGAAAGUUAAAAUCAUGACUCUCAUUCAUGGAUCCCAUCCACAGGUGGGGUGGUGACUCUUGAACCAGAAUUCAGCACACCGUGAGCCUGUUACUUUCAUAUCAGGACACAGUUUCUAGGUGGGGCUGGAACUCUCACGCACAGAUCCAAUUUACUAUUGAGAUGGUGAGUCAUGUACUUGCACGUAACUCACAGGAGGCGUUGACUCUCAUACCUAAAGCUGGGACUUGUGCAGAAUUGUAAAUCUAACCACUGGACCUUCUUGCAGGUGUGAUUCUAGCACUUGAGAAUCUACUUACCUGUGUUGGCCAAGCCUACACAGUGACAUUAAUAAAAAUCAAGCAUCUAGGUGAUAUAACUCUCCUUUCUGGGCACUGCUCUCAAGGGAGGUUUUUAAAUAUUUCAGAGCCCAGCACAUGAGUAAUAUGAUUAUUUUCUCCUGCCUGGUUCCUGCACAUUGGGAGCAUUGUGACAUAUCACUGGGCACAACACCAAGGUGAUAUGACUCCCCUUUCAUGUCUGUGCCCUGUCCAUAUUAGGGAUUGUGACAUUGCACUGGACCUAGCACUCAGGUGAAGUAAAUAUUCUUUUCUGAUUGGGUUUUGCAUACAGGGGGCAUGGGUGACAUAAUGCAGGGCCCAACAUUAAGGUGAUGUGACUUUACUUCAUGAAGAAUGUCCAAAGGGAGCAUUGUGACAUCUCUCUGGACCCAGCACCUACAUGAUGUGACUCCCUUUUUUCUGGGCCCUUCAUCUAGGGGGAAUUAUGACCUAUUGCUGAAUCUAGCUCCUGGGUGCUGUGACUCUUCUGCCUGAGCCCUGCUCACAGGGGGCAUUUGAGCACAUCUUUGGGUUCAUCACCUAGUGAUGUGACUGUCUCCUUCUGCCUGUGCUUUGCCCACAGAAAAGCCUGGUCCACAUCACUGGGCUGAGCACCCAGGUAAUGUAACUCUCUUUUCUGGACCUUGCCCACAGGGGGCAUUGUGACAUUGCACUGGGUCCAGCACUGAUGCAAAGCACCCAGAGGACAUGAUAAUUCAGCCCCAUCCCUGCUCCCAGCUAAAAGGGAUGAGGAUGACUCUUGUAACUUAACUCAGCUAAUAGGAGAGAUGAGGGCAACCAGUAAGGUCCUCAGUUUCCUAAUUGUAUAAAGAUCAGAAAAGAUUACAUUUCUCAUGCAUAGUAUAUAAAGCACUCAAGUGGUAAAGAGUAUCAUGGCAGGGCACAGCACACAGUUGAGAUAUUGACUCUCAUGUGACACCCAGGCUACAGUUAUAACUGUCACUCUCUCACAUGGACAGAGCCUGCUGGUAAAAUUUAAAUUGAAUCGAGAACACAGUCCACAGUUGAAAUUGUGAUUUUCAUAAGUGAAUAUGGCUACAGUUUCCAUGGUGACUCAUUGAUGGACUCAGAUCACAGGAACCGUUAUAACUCUCAUACCUCGAUCCAGCCAAUAAGAGAGAUGUUCAAUCUCCUUCCUGAUUCUAGGGCAAUGAGUAAGACUGUGAAUCCAUAUAGGCAUGAAGGUCUCAGAGAAAAUUGUGAAUCUCAGGUGUAUACUUUAAAGCCCUUGAGAUGUACCAUGUGUCAUAAUAGGGCCCAGCACACCAGUGAGACUGUAACCCUUGUGUGCACACCCAGCUGAAAGUAAGAUUUGUCACCCUCUCAGCUGAAUACAGCACACUGUUGAAGUCCUAAAUGUCAUAGCUGGAGGCAGUCAAAAUGUAGAAUUAUGUCUCAGACAAGAAUCCAGCCGAGAGUGAGUUAGUGGCUCUCUGACCUGGAUUCAGCUCACUUGUGAGGCUGUGAGUUCCCUACUGGGACAUGGUCUGCUGGUGAGAUUGAGGUCUCAUGCACAUACCCAGUCUGUCACUGAGUUUGUGACUCAUGUACUAGGACCUAACACACAGAUCUUGACUCUCAUAUCCAGAACUUAGACAUAUACAGGAUUGUCAGUCUCAUCCCUGCACCUUCCCACAAAUGUCAUUAUUACAUAUGUCUUUGCCCAGCCCCUCAGUAAUUUGACUUUCCUGCCUGGGUCCAGCCCCAAACUGGAAUUUUGACAUAUACCUGGGCCAAGCACCUAAAUGCUGUGACUUUCUUCUUUUGCCUAGGAGCUGCAAACAGAAAAGAUUGUGACAUAUUGCUAAGCCCAGCAUUUAGGUUAUAUGAUUCUUCCUCCAGCAACAUUGCGAUAUAUUCUUCUCUGGAAAAUGGGACAUUGUAACAUUCCUCCCUGGAACAUGAGACAUUGUCAUUCCUCUCUGUUCCUACAGGGACAUUGUGACAUAUCUCUGGGAUCUAGUUAAUGAACUAGAUUAAGGGACUCCCUUAUACCUGCGUCAUUCCCUCAGGUCGGAUUAUGACAUAUCAUUGGAACGCGGAACCUAGGCGAUUUGAUUCUCCUCUACUGCUGGGCCCCCAUCCACAGUAUGAUGGUAACAUAUUGCUGAACCCACCAACUACAUGAUGUCACUUUCCUUUCCUGCCUGGAAUCUGUUCGGUGGAAACGAGUUAUAUAUUGCUAGGCCCAGCACCUAGGAAAUGUGCCUUUAACCUCCUCACAGUGGGAAAUGUGACAUGUCACUGGGCUCAUCACCUAGGUGAUGUAAUGCUUCUCCCCUUUCUUGACCCACCCACAGUGGGUGUUGUGACGUAUUACCAUGUUCAUCAGCUAAAUGAUGUGACUCUUUUCUCCUGAUUGAGCCCUGCUCAUAGAGAGCAUUGUGACAUUCAGCUUGGCCUUGAAUCCAGAUGAUUUAACUCUCCUACCUAGGCUCUGCCUAUGGGGAACAAUGUGACAUGUCUCCACAUCCAUCACCUAGGUUAUGUGACUCUCCUGUCUGGGUCAGGCUCACAGAGGAGAAUGGAACAUAUCUCUGGACCCAGCACCUAAGUAAAGUAUCCCUAUGCUUUUCCUAGGCCUUGCCUUUAGGGUAAAUUGUGACAUGUAUUUGGAUGUAACACCUAGGUCAUGUAACUCUCCUUUCAUUCCUGGGCAGUGCCCAAGGGGAGACUGUGACAUGUUGCUGAGCCCAGGACCCAGGGGAUGUUACCCUCCUGCCUGGCACUGACAGCUCACAGAAGGCAUUGUGACAUAUCCUUGUGCUCAUCACCCAAGUAAUGGGACUCUAUUUACCUGACAGAAUCCUGUUCUUAGGGAAACCUGUGGCAUAUCACUGUAUCCAGCAUGUAGGUAUGGUGACUUCUGCCUCUGCCCUGCCCACUGGAAAAAUUGUGACAUGUCACUGAACCCAGAACCUAGGUGAUGUAACUUUUCUCCUGUGCCUUACAUACAAAAAUAAUCUAUCCUAGGUGAGGUGACUCUCCUCUACUACAUGUGCCUUGCCCCAAAGGGGCAUUGUGAAGUGUCUCUUGCCCCAUCACCUGGGUGAAGCAGCCAUACUCUUUUGAAUAAUCACUGCCCAGAGCUGUGAUUGUUACAGAACCCUGAGCCCAGUACUCAAGUGGUUUGACUCUGCUGAUGGGCCCUGUGCAAAAAGGGCAGUGUGAUACAUGUGUGGGCCCAUCAACUAAAAAUAUGACUUUCUAUAUUAGUCUGUUCUCAUACUGCUAAUGAAGUCAUACUCAAUAUUGGGUAAUUUCUAAAAGAGGUAGGUUUAAUGGACUCAGAAUUCUACAUGGCUGAGGAGGCCUCACAAUCAUGGUAAAGGAUGAAGGAAGAGCAAAAAGGCAUCUCACACUGUGGCAGCAUAAAGACCCGUACAGGUGAACUCCCCUAUAUAAAACCAUUAGAUCUCAGGAGACAUAUUCAAUAUCUCAAGAACAGUGUAGGAGAACCACCUGUAUAAUUCCAUUAUAUUUAUCUGGCCUUGCUCUUGACACUUUAGGAUUAAUAAAAUUCAAGGUGAGAUUUGGGUGGGGACACUGCCAAAUCAUGUCACUCUUUGCUCCCAUCUGGACCCUGACCAUGGGGGAGAUUUUGACAUAUCGCUGAACCCUUCAUUUUGGUGAUGUAACUGGUCCCUGCCCACAGAGAAUGGUGACGUGUCUCUGGGCUCAGUACCUACUUGAUGGGAUUCUCCUCUCCUGCCUUUACUCUGUCCUAAAAGAAAAUGGUAAUACAUCACUGAGACCAGCACUUAGGUAAUGUCCUUUUCAGCUUCUAUCAGGGCCCUGUCUACAAGGGGCAAGGUGACAUCAUGUGGGAACUAUCUCCAGGUGAUGUGACUUUUCUGCAUUGGCCUGACCUAAAGGGGGAAUUAUGACAUAUCUCUGGGCCAACACCUAGGUUAUGUGACCUUCCUCACCUGCCUGUGCUCUGCCCACAGGAAAUGUCCAAGUAUCUCUGGGCCCAGCACCUAGGUAAUGGGACUCUUCUGUCAAAGCACUUCUUAUAUGAGCCAUUGUGACAUAUUCUUUGGCCCAAGACACAAUGAUGUGACUUUUCACUUCUGCUUGGGCCCUACACAAAGGGGACAUGGUGACAUAUCAAAGGGCUCAUCACCUAGGUGAUGUAAUUUUCCUUUUGCUUGGGCCUUGCCCACAGAAUAAAUAGUGACACAUUGCUGGGCAUUGCACCUAGGUGAUGUCAUAUUUAUUUCUGCUCUGUCCUGUAUUACAGAGGGCAUUGUGACAUCUUGCUGAUCUUAGCACUGAGGAUAUGUAACCUUGGGGCCAGAGCUGAGUCCACAGGUGGACUCUGACAUAUUCCUUGCCCAGCUCCUGGGUGACAUGACUCUUUCUUCCUGCAUGGACCCUGACUUCAGUGAGGAUUCUGGCAUAUUGCUGGGCCCUACACCCAAAUGAUGUGACUUGGCCGCCUGAAUUCUGCCAAAAAAGGCAUUGUGACCUAUCCAGUGGGCCAGAACCUACAUGUUGUGAUUUUCCGCCCCAUUCUGAGCCCUGAAAUAUUGUUUUGCACAGGAUAAGGGGUGAUGUGGAUCUCUAGGCUGGGCCCUGCCCACAAGAGGCAUUGUGACAUAUUGCUGAGCUCAGCAUUCAAGUAAUGUGACUUUCUUGCCAGGGCCCUGAACACGGGUUUAUUGAAAUACUCCUAGAUCAACAUUCAAUCAAUGUGACUCUCCUGCCUGCUGUCUUUUCAUAGGUGGGAUUGUAACAUACCUAGGCCUAGCUCACAGGCAUGAUGAUGACUCUCAUAUGUAGACCCAACUGAGAGAAAACAUGUUGACUCUCAUGGCUAGAAUUAGGGGAAUAGGUAAGGUCCUCUGUUUCCUACUUGUGGUAAUGUCACAGAAGGCGAUGACACGCUUGCAUAUCCUAUAACAUCCUUCGGUGACACAGAGAGUGUCCCAACAGGACCCAACACACAGGUGAGUUUGGCAUCCCAUAGGCACACACCCAGCCAACAAUUAAAACUGUCACUCUUACACAUGGACAGAAUCCACUGGUGACGUCCUGAAUCUCACAUAUGGACAUCGUCCACAGUUAGUGUUGUGGCUGUCAUAUGUAAAUUCAGCAACGUGUGAGAUGAUGACUCAUUUCUUGACCAAGCUCACAGGUGCAAUAAUGACUCUCAUACUUUGAUUUAGCCAA
Non-coding RNA from Callithrix jacchus (white-tufted-ear marmoset), 10132 nucleotides. The record is from RefSeq and is a predicted model, not a curated record. Lineage: Eukaryota; Metazoa; Chordata; Mammalia; Primates; Cebidae.